UCCUGGUUCAUGGACAUUUCUAGCAUGCCUGGCUUAUAUCCAGUCUCUGAAAGCCUGACCAGAUUAGAAGACAGCACUUCCAUUCUGUGGAGACAUCCAACCUGAGGGCAGUGCUCCAAGCAAGCAAGUGGUGCUAGCCAACCUCAGUCAGCCAGUGGCAGGACACCUACAAGUGACAACCAGGAGCAUGGGGAGACGGGGAGAAGGAAGAUGGAGGUAAAAAAGUGACUGUCCCAGUGCCAGGCUGGAACAGCAGUGUUAGCCUGGGUCUCCUGGCAAGCAGAAUCCAGCUGGGAGCUGUUCCGCUCACUGCUCAUGGGUUAGGUUUCCCUCCUGUGUACCUUCUGCCUCCAGCCUUUGCCUGAUCUUAUGUUCAGAUGUAGCUGGGGGGACUCCCAGGCCCAAGGAAUUCAGGUUUUUUUUCAACACGAAAUUGGAGCACAAACAAGGCACUGUUUUCCCCCCUAUUGUUUGAAGGACUUAUCCUUGUUCAGGCUCCCCUCCCAUCACAUUCAGCCCAUCAGCUCCAGCUAUUUCAUAUUGGCUUAAUCACCUGUCAGCUAUACACUUUACCUGCUCCUUUCUUUCAUCCUUUCUAUAGCCAAUUUUAAUGUUGAUAUAAAUUAUGCAGAACAGAAAAAAUACAACCACAGUAGCAUUAUCUCAUAAAUAAGCAUUAUAAACUGAGCUCUCAGCAUGAACUGUUUUCCCCUGAACUGUUUCCCAAACUGCAAAUGUUCUGCAGACAGGGAAACAGUCCUUCAUUUCAAAUUAGACAGCACAUAUUCAUGAACUGAAAAACCUGGGAAAAAAUGGUUCAAGUAAACAGAAAUGGCUUAUUUCAAUGAUUUCAAAAUUCAGUGCAUAACAACAGUCCUUUUAUAGACUCCCAUGGUAAUGAAGUGUGUGGAAGCAGCCCUUUCCUAAUCAGUUGUGAACCUGUUUGCCAGAUGCAAUCAAAUGAGAAGGAAGUUUAGUGAACCCCUGGGGGGAUGAAGUUCCCUUAGGCUUCCCAUGGUUGGGUGAAGACGUGGAAAGGAAACUUGUGCUAUGUGUAAGUGUCCAGGCACAGGGAAGCCUGGCAUGUGACUUCAUGCACAGAGUGCAUGGAAAAGCUCCAACAGCCCCAAACAUUUCCAGCUGGUCUCCAGAUCUAUAUCAAAGAAGAAGCCAGCUGAAACCACAUGCUUCACUGUGCCCACUUAGUGCCUGGGGAAUAACACACGGAGAACAUUUUCUCUUGAAUGCUUCUGAUCAUUUCUAAUCAUUAACUCAGAAAUGCUGAAAGGUUCAGAGAAGGAAAUGCAGAAAGACUCUCGGUGCGACCUCAGGUCUGGCAUUUGGCAAAUCAUAAUAAUGAGGCAAUUAUGAUUGAUAUGGUUUAGUUUUUAUGGACCCUGGUUAAAUGUCAUUCAUUUUUUUUAAGUGUAAAGAGCACUGAGUUACAUCAUACCCUCAUGAAGAUGUCUUUAAAAAUAAUGCCCCUCCAUGCCAGCUGUGCUGAGGUGUGGUAGGACUGUAUUUGCACUGCCUCUGGUAACUCAGCUCAGGUCUGUGGCUCAAACAGCUCAGACUUGUGCAUUCGUUUUCUUUCUGGAGUGGCCAAGCCUGAACUCCCCAUUGAUCCUUGGAAACGCUGAAAUUCUCUGCCUAGAGAAUCCAUCAUCCCAUUCCUGAUGUGCGCCAGAGCAUGGACCAACCUCCAGGCUUUGCCAGAGGCCUAGAAAGGGGGUCAGAUAGCAUUGACUGAGGGGUGCAUUUUGAACCCUGGGACUUCUGAGCAGAUCACAAGCAGCUAUUGCUUAUUUUGAGGAGAGGUAUAAUUAUCAUUCCUAUCCAAUACAGAGGAAUUGUAGUCACAGAAAACCAUUUUUCCCAUUGUCACAUUUGAAAUGAAUGACAGUCUCUAGCUCUAUUCAUGACCUUUGGCUCUUGGGGAGGCUGUUCCCUGGCACCCUUCAGCAGUGUUGCAAUUCUCUGUGCUCUGGUAGGUGGUCUAAAGGGAUGCUGCUAUGAUACUUUUUACAAGAGGCUGUAAAUGAUUCACUACUAUUCAAGGGUAUUUAAAUCUCAUGCUUCUGGCCCAUCAACUGGAGCCAGGCAGAGCAGAAGGAAAUUCCUACACAUGCAUUUUCUAAACCCACCGGGUUGUGUGGGCACUUGUUUUUAACACUUCUACAAGUGGGUGUUCAAGGCUGGGCAGUGCCAGAGGUAGCUGUGAUGCACUGGUCUGCACAGCUGUAAUGGUUUGGGUGUUGCUGAAGGGAAGAAGCCUUGCUUUGGCUGUGUUUGAGUUUCAAACCUUCCUUUGCCAGGUCUGCGCCCUGUCACUGGCACAGUAUGAGGAAUCCUCUGUCCUGUCUCAGGCUGUUGAUCCACACUGCAGGCUGAAAAUGCUGCUGCUGUUCACAUCUCCCUCAGGGAAGCUGUGACUGAGUUCAUGUUUGUGCCUUGUCCAGCAUCCUGCAUUGACAAGUAUGUUGCCUUGUAAGGUGUACUGGGAGGGAGAGACUUCCAGUACUUGUACUUCUACAAACAGCAUGAGGUGCUGGCACCUCAGGAUGGGACUCUGGGCUCUUAGCACUUAUACAACGUGCUUGGGUCUGGGAUGGGCUCAUGUGCCAAAUGGGCCUCCAAGCCUGUUCAGAGACAGGCAUCUCUUGUCUUGCAGAAGAUGAAGGGUGAAUAAUCUAAUGACUGAUUUACCAUGCAAGACAUUUAACACCAUUAUGAAUUUUGAGUUUUGCAGUAAAUUAUAAAAUAGAUUACUAAAGACAAAUAGAUAGCAAGCAUUACUAUUUAAUUAUAUUAAUAUACAAUUAUUAUUAUGUAAGUUAUAAAUAUUUCUAUAAAUAAGUAUAUAAAUAUAUUUAAAAGCUCGUCCUUGUAUGCAAGAAUAAAUAUUUAUUAGUAAUCCACGCAAUAAGGUGUAUUUUAAAAAUAAUGUUAUUUAUAUAUUGCAUUAUGUUACUAGAAUGUUAAUAACUCUUCCCAUGAAACACAGGAUAGGGAAGAGAAAAGGAGAGACUAACAACUCCCUGCAGUGUUGUGCAUAAAAAGUACUUGUAUUCAUUUUCUGGUGUUUGCCAAGAUUGCUGUCUUUGCUUUGAGAUGGAAUUAAAAUAAUACAAUACAUUCAUAAAUGAAAAAAAAGAAGUGUUUUCCAGAGCCAUACAAAGAGGCUGAUGCUUCUAGAGGAAUAAGAAUGUUGUUUGCAAUGCUUUUAUUUCUAUUCUCCUCAUUCUGAUAUUCUUGUCAAGCUUAUAAACUUGCAAACAAUAUAACACAGCUGAUGAAUCUUGACCAAAUUAUUUUUAUUCUAUUUUCAAAGAUAACUGGGCAAGUUAAAAAAGAAAAAUUAAAAUUCGCUAGAAUGUCUUUUCUGUUCUCCCAAGCCUUCUCACCGUGAUUCACAGGGGAGGAUCACAGUGCCAGGAGCACUACGAAUUUCUCUGCAGUUGUGUUAAAAAUUACAAAGUAAGGUUCAUCUGAGACAUUAAUUAAAAACAAAACCAAAAAUAACAACAAAAAAUCCUAAAGCUCCCUGAAAUGCCAUGGCAAUUAUGUACCUAAAUUGAACUUUAAUGAGAGUGCUCAAUUUGUGUUGGUAAUUGUGGUAUCUGUCUAUUUACAAAUGCUAUGUACCUGCUGAUACGCACAGCUGCUGCUGUACAAUUAUUGAUAACUGUCCUCUAACACUUCAGUGAUUGUGUGGCUAUGUUGUUUUUUUGCUCCUAGCAUUUUGGCAGCUGGAAAUUCACAUGCAUGUUACUGGAAGUUUGAGAUGCUUCUUACAAUCUCCCAACAGACUGAUGGAACAACUCAAAAAUUAAAAGAUAUUAACUAGCAGUGACGCUUACCAGAAGGACCAUCCAUAAUCCCAUGAAUGAGGUCUCCAGUCCUCUGGCCCAAGGCUGACUGUCACUUGGAAAACUUGAGUGUACAUCAUGUGUGCCACCAUCCCCAAGAGACCUGAGAAGUGUUUGCAGAGGAAAGGUGUGACUGAGAGCUCAUUAUUUUACAUCAUACUGAAUUCUCAAUUAAGAGAAGAGUUAAAGAAAGAAAACCGUUGAAGAAAAUUUUGCACAAUUAGCAUUGCCUCUAACCAUGCUGCUGCAAAACAAGGGUAUACCACCCACAAGAUAUGUCACUUAGCCCACCUCACACAGGCCUCAGG
Non-coding RNA from Anas platyrhynchos (mallard), 4177 nucleotides. The record is from RefSeq and is a predicted model, not a curated record. NCBI's taxonomy places the organism in Eukaryota, Metazoa, Chordata, Aves, Anseriformes, Anatidae.